RNAcentral lists this ribosomal RNA (250 nucleotides) under uncultured bacterium. Its description in RNAcentral is "partial 16S ribosomal RNA". It matches the Rfam family "Bacterial small subunit ribosomal RNA", at positions 524 to 773 of the family's 1533-position model. The record is from RNAcentral.
UACGAAGGGAGCUAGCGUUGUUCGGAAUCACUGGGCGUAAAGCGCACGUAGGCGGAUUUGUUAGUCAGGGGUGAAAUCCCGGGGCUCAACCUCGGAACUGCCUUUGAUACUGCAGAUCUAGAGUCCGAUAGAGGUGGGUGGAAUUCCUAGUGUAGAGGUGAAAUUCGUAGAUAUUAGGAAGAACACCGGUGGCGAAGGCGGCCCACUGGAUCGGUACUGACGCUGAGGUGCGAAAGCGUGGGGAGCAAAC